Molecule: long non-coding RNA, 3929 nt
Organism: Homo sapiens (human)
Lineage: Eukaryota; Metazoa; Chordata; Mammalia; Primates; Hominidae
Exons: 3
Source: RefSeq, a predicted model, not a curated record
UUCUUUAUAAAUUACCCAGUCUGGGGCAGUUCUUUAUAGCAGUAUGAAAAUGGACUAAUACACCUUGUCUUCAGAAAGACUUUCCCUAGAUGCUCAGCACACCUGCUAAAUUUCUCCAGUGUGUUGACAUUAGAGCAGCCUUGUCCAAUAGAGCUUUCUAAGAUGAUGGAAUGUUCUAUGUCUGCACCAUUCAAUACGGCAACUACUAGCCACGUGUGGCUAUUGAGCACUUGAAAUGUGGCCAGUGUGACUGAGGAACUGAAUUUUUUUUUUAGCUUUAAUUAAGUGUCAAUAGCCACACAUAGCUAGUGGCCAGCAUACUGGACAGGUCGAAUUUAGAAACUCUUCUUUCUGCCACUGUUGACUAUGACAAAAGAAUGAGUCAUAGAGAGGAAUGGACUUCUCCCAUUCUACUGGGGCAGCCUGGAGAACACUUGGGCUUCGAAGACCACUUCCCUCUGCUCCCCAGGGCCUUCCCCACUGGCUUCAGAGGCGUGACUGAGGGCAAGAAGGAAGAGCCAAGAUUCUGUCUACAUGUGUGAUCGACAAUGUUAAUUCUCAUAUUGUACAUUGUGCCAUCUCUCCCUGAACUUUAUUGAUGUUUUGAAGCAAAACAACCAUUUACUCCUCUCCUAAAGAUUCCAGUUAAUGAGGUGCGCACAGGCCCCUUUGCAGAGCGCCAGCCAUUUCCAGGGAGGCACAGUGGUAGCAUUUCAGUGCCGUUCUGCUCAGGAAAGACGACCAAACAGCCCUCCUGCCCUCACCUUUGCACACCACACAUCUCAGCUUCAACUCGCCAUCACGGUGGUCCCAGGCACGGUCGCUGCAACAUCAGAAGGGCGGCAUUUCAGCAAGCAUUUGUUUUUGGGGUAGGGGUAGUGGUAAUUACCAGCACAUGAUUAUUUUAUUUUGUCUGAAUUAUUUACAAUGGAAGGAAGCAGUUUGGAGGGAAGGGGAUAUUAGGGAAUGAGUUCAAUCCCACUUGCAUUGAUUCUACCCAGAGCAAGAAGAGCAAGCCUAUUGAGAAGAAAAAUCACUUCCUUUUCUUCCUCUUUCCUCUCCACCCCUAAGUCUUAGAAAUAAAUAAAUAAUGCAAAGAAAAGCCCUGGGUGGCUGCAUGGGAGGGGCCAGUGGCUGGGUGUCUGUGGCCUUCACUGAGGACUCACUUCCAUUAUUACAUCGGGUCCUGGGCUGGAGCGUUCAGUGGUUCAAUUCUUGCUCCCCAGCACUCAUCUUGCAUGUUGGUGCAUAAUGAACACCACGUAUGGAUUGAAAUCCCAUUUACAGGAUGUUCAGUUACGGAACCUGUAAUCAGGAGAGGUGGGUUUUAAUCCCAGAGGUGUCGUUCCCUUAUUGUUUUUUAAAUUUAAGAUUUAUAGUUCUCCAACUUCCAAAAGAACUUGCUGAUGUUUUAUAGCAGCAAAGGUGGUGAAUGAGAGAAAACAGAAGAGAAGCCAUCUGAAGAAAGCAGGACAUGUUGAUGCUUCCAGGCACCAGAGUGGCCAUAACAGUUGGGUAAUAGGCUCAUGGUUGUGCUUCCAUUUCUUUUUUGUCAAAUAGGGAAAGCAAACCCACCUCCUGCUGUGUGAGGUAACAGGUAGAGUAAUGUUUGUGAGAAGAGGCAUCCAUAUCAUUUUGGCAUGAUAUUGCAUUUCUAAAUUUAAAAAAAAAAAUGUCAAUAGAGGCAGAACAUCUCAUGACCUAAUCCCACUGCAAAUCCCUGAAGAGAAAUACUCACAGAAUAGUGCCCUGGCACACUGAAGAUGAGAAACUGGGGCUGCAAGUGCCACCUGAGAGAAAUGGGGGUGCUUUUAUUCAUUUUUUUCUUCAAUGAAUAACUUUUGAAUAAAAUGUUAACAUACUUACCAACUCAUAAUAUAUAUGAAUUUUAAGACUUUGCAAUAAAAUGGAUGUCUAUGUAUCUACCCACCUAAAUUAAGAAAUAUGUAAUUACUGGCCAGGUGUGGUGGCUCAUGCUUGUAAUUCCAGUGCUUUGGGAGGCCAAGGAGGGUGAAACUAGCCUGACCAACAUGGCGAAACCCCGUCUCUACUAAAAAUACAAAAAGUAACUGACUGUGGUGGUGUGCACCUGUAAUCCCAGCUACUCAGGAGGCUGAGGCAGGAGAAUUGCUUGAACCCCGAACGCAGAGGUUGCAGUGAGCCGAGUUCAUGCCGUUGCAUGCCAACCUAGGUGACAGAGUGAGACUUUGUCUAAAAAAAAAGAAAUAUAUAAUUCCUAUCAUUGAAACUCCAAUAAUACCCCUCUUAGUCCCAAGGUAACCACUAUCAUGAUUUUGUGCAUAUUGUCCUUCCGCUUUUUAAAAACAAAUUUUGCGUGUAUUUGAACCAUAUGCAAUUGGAAUUAUACUGAUAUAUUCUAUGAAUUGGUUUUCUUCACCUAAUAUUAUGUUUGUGAGAUUUGUUCAAGUUGAUACUUAUAACCUAUUUUAUUCAUUAUCACUACGGUUUGCUAUUUUGUUGUAUGAUUACUCUAAGACUUAUCCAUUCUCUUACUGAUCAUCAUCUAGAUGUCUCCAUUUUUUAAAUUACAAACCACAUUGCCAUGAAUAUUCUAAUAUAAAUGUCUUUUGGUACACAGAUCUAGGAGUUUCUCCAUUGUAUUUGCCUGAGAGUAGCAUUGCUAGCUCAUAAGAAAGGGGUGUCUUCAACUUUAUUAGAUCUUGCCAAGAUCUUAGUCCAAUCUGUACUCCCAACAGCAAUGUUCAUGAAGGAACUCAAGAAAUUUUUAUCAACUAUGAGCUGAUUCAACUCCUCGCAACUAAGAGGAAAAGUUAAUAGGAAAGAGAGACUGCAUGGCUAACAGAAAUCCACAGACAAUGAUGAUGGUGGUGAUGAUUACCGUAAUCACAAUGACAUAAUGAUGAUUACCAUAAUAACAAUGACCAGGACAAGAACAACAAACCCAUAGUGCUUAAUAUGUGCCAGGCACUGUUCUGAACAGUUCACACAUCUGGCACAGUGCCUGGCACAUAGUAAAGACUCAUUCAAUCUUUACAAUUACUCUAAGAGAUUUGUACUGUAAUCUCCACUUAGCAGGUAAAGAAACUGAAACACAGAGAGGUUAAGAAACUUGCUUAAGUUAUGGCUGAUAAAUGUCGAAGCUGGAAUUUGAGUGGUUGCUCUGAACUACAUGCUUCGUUAAAAAUUUUAAUUUAGUUUUUCUUGGCAUUACCAUUCAUGGACUUUAUCUUUUAAUUUUAUUUUCUUUUUAAUUGACAAAUGGUAAUUGAAUACAUUUGUGGCAUACAAUGUGGUAUUUUGAUUCACCUAUACAUUGUCCUUGCUUCAUUUUAGCCAAUCGCUUAUGAGUUCAUGCUAAAUGAACCAGUAAUAAGAGCAGCUACAUGACUGAUGGAUGACUGGUCACUCUGCCAUUUGAAGUGGGGGACUUACUUUUCUAAUCAUACUCCUUAUUACACACUCUAUUUUACAGCUCUCUUCACUGAGAGUUUUGAUUGUAUUUAGAUUUCAUCACAAUUUGAUUCUUAAGAAGCAAGGGAAAAGCAUUCUUUCUCGGAUAGCAUGGAAUUUGGAUGACCACUUUGGCUAAUGUAAAAAAAAAAUGUGAGGUGUUCUUAAACCAAAACUUCUCAAAUCCUAACUUAACGUAAUCUACCUGAAAUCAAUGUUAUGGUUACUGGCACUUGACAAGACUGGAAGAGAAAUAACUUUUCGUAACAGCUCAUCUUCACAUAGCUAAUGAUAGGUACCAUUGUUUUUUGGGCAAAGUGAUGGGGGAGGAUAUUAACUAUUUCAAAGGUUGUUCAAAAUGACUAAAAUAUAACAUAAUAAUAUUGUCAUAGGCAUAUAGGCAUAGCUAUUUUUGUCAUGGAAAACAUCAGCAGAAAUGAAGAACCAUAUGUAUAUUUAUACCUUAGGAUCAAUAAAACUAUAUUUUUUGGUCCAUA